This 278-nucleotide long non-coding RNA is filed under the name Fukomys damarensis (Damara mole-rat). RNAcentral describes it as "lncRNA (ENSFDAG00000026744.1)". Lineage: Eukaryota; Metazoa; Chordata; Mammalia; Rodentia; Bathyergidae. The record is from RNAcentral.
GGAUCUGGGGUCCAGAAUGACCGUCCCAACAGCACCGAUCGCAUGCUGGAGACUGGCCAAGAUGAGACUUUGAAGAGGCAUCUAUGCAAGUUACAGCUCCUGCCUGGACAGGUGCUCUGCCUUCCCCCAUGGGGCGGGUUUGAGUAACCACUCACUGCACUACAGAUGUCCCUUGUUUAGCGAUCCACCUGGUUAACGACUGCUUAGACUUACCACCCACUGCUUGGACUUUCAAAUCAUCUUUUACUGUGCAGUGUGUACAUCAUGUUUGCAGAGCC